GAAGCGGCAAAAGCUCAAAUUUGAAAUCUGGCACUUUCAGUGUCCGAGUUGUAAUUUGAAGAAGGUAUCUUUGGGUCUGGCUCUUGUCUAUGUUUCUUGGAACAGAACGUCACAGAGGGUGAGAAUCCCGUGCGAUGAGAUGUCCCAGACCUAUGUAAAGUUCCUUCGAAGAGUCGAGCUGUUUGGGAAUGCAGCUCUAAGUGGGUGGUAAAUUCCAUCUAAAGCUAAAUAUUGGCGAGAGACCGAUAGCGAACAAGUACAGUGAUGGAAAGAUGAAAAGAACUUUGAAAAGAGAGUGAAAAAGUACGUGAAAUUGUUGAAAGGGAAGGGCUUGAGAUCAGACUUGGUAUUUUGUAUGUUACUCUCUCGGGGGUGGCCUCUACAGUUUACCGGGCCAGCAUCAGUUUGAGCGGUAGGAUAAGUGCAAAGAAAUGUGGCACUGCUUCGGUAGUGUGUUAUAGUCUUUGUCGAUACUGCCAGCUUAGACUGAGGACUGCGGCUUCGGCCUAGGAUGUUGGCAUAAUGAUCUUAAGUCGCCCGUCUUGAAACACGGACC
Molecule: ribosomal RNA, 556 nt
Filed under: Lodderomyces parapsilosis
Lineage: Eukaryota; Fungi; Ascomycota; Pichiomycetes; Serinales; Debaryomycetaceae
Description: eukaryotic LSU rRNA
Rfam family: Eukaryotic large subunit ribosomal RNA
Source: RNAcentral